AGUGAACGCUGGCGGUAGGCCUAACACAUGCAAGUCGAACGGCAGCACAGUAAGAGCUUGCUCUUACGGGUGGCGAGUGGCGGACGGGUGAGGAAUACAUCGGAAUCUACUUUUUCGUGGGGGAUAACGUAGGGAGACUUACGCUAAUACCGCAUACGACCUACGGGUGAAAGCAGGGGAUCUUCGGACCUUGCGCGAUUGAAUGAGCCGAUGUCGGAUUAGCUAGUUGGCGGGGUAAAGGCCCACCAAGGCGACGAUCCGUAGCUGGUCUGAGAGGAUGAUCAGCCACACUGGAACUGAGACACGGUCCAGACUCCUACGGGAGGCAGCAGUGGGGAAUAUUGGACAAUGGGCGCAAGCCUGAUCCAGCCAUACCGCGUGGGUGAAGAAGGCCUUCGGGUUGUAAAGCCCUUUUGUUGGGAAAGAAAAGCAGCAGGUUAAUACCCCGCUGUUCUGACGGUACCCAAAGAGUAAGCACCGGCUAACUUCGUG
This 492-nucleotide ribosomal RNA is filed under the name uncultured bacterium. RNAcentral's name for it is "partial 16S ribosomal RNA". It matches the Rfam family "Bacterial small subunit ribosomal RNA", at positions 29 to 507 of the family's 1533-position model. The record is from RNAcentral.